Molecule: ribosomal RNA, 502 nt
Filed under: uncultured bacterium
Lineage: Bacteria
Description: bacterial SSU rRNA
Rfam family: Bacterial small subunit ribosomal RNA
Source: RNAcentral
AGACGCUGGCGGCGUGCCUAAUACAUGCAAGUUGAACGCAACAAAGACACCAGAGCUUGCUCUACCGUCUUUGUUGAGUAGCGAACGGGUGAGUAACGCGUGGGUAACCUGCCUUAUAGCGGGGGAUAACUAUUGGAAACGAUAGCUAAUACCGCAUAACAAUAGAGAUUGCAUAAUCUUUAUUUGAAAGUGCCAACUGGUACACUAUGAGAUGGACCCGCGUUGUAUUAGCUAGUUGGUAGUGUAAUGGACUACCAAGGCGAUGAUACAUAGCCGACCUGAGAGGGUGAUCGGCCACAUUGGGACUGAGACACGGCCCAAACUCCUACGGGAGGCAGCAGUAGGGAAUCUUCGGCAAUGGACGAAAGUCUGACCGAGCAACGCCGCGUGAGUGAAGAAGGUUUUCGGAUCGUAAAACUCUGUUGUUAGAGAAGAAUGUUGAUUAGAGUGGAAAAUUAAUCAAGUGACGGUAUCUAACCAGAAAGGGACGGCUAACUACGUG